GAAUAGGACCCUGUCCUCCUAUUUUCAGUUGGUUUGCCGCGAGGACCAGGGUAAUGAUUAAUAGGGAUAGUUGGGGGCAUUAAUAUUUAAUUGUCAGAGGUGAAAUUCUUGGAUUUAUGAAAGAUUAACUUCUGCGAAAGCAUCUGCCAAGGAUGUUUUCAUUAAUCAAGAACGAAAGUUAGGGGAUCGAAGACGAUCAGAUACCGUCGUAGUCUUAACCAUAAACGAUGCCGACCAGCGAUUAGGAGACGUUGAAUACAAAACACCACCAUGCGCAUUGCGGUCGUCUUUGGUGUCGCUCACAAGGCGGCACCGGGGCGGCUUAGCUCGCAUGGCACC
This 339-nucleotide ribosomal RNA is filed under the name Acanthamoeba genotype T3. RNAcentral's name for it is "SSU rRNA". The stretch from base 1 to 298 matches the Rfam family "Eukaryotic small subunit ribosomal RNA", at positions 812 to 1116 of the family's 1831-position model. The record is from RNAcentral. Lineage: Eukaryota; Discosea; Longamoebia; Acanthamoebidae.